AGUUUGAUCUAAUUUUUUUUUUUUUCAGUGAUGAUGAGGACAACUUGAAUUCUGAUACUCAGGAACAACUUGAUGCCAGAGUAGUGGAGAACAGCUCUUUCAUUCUAAGUAGCACAAUUCCCAGUAAAAAAAAGUCAAAGCCAGGAGGAAAACGUGCAAAACCACCUGAAGUGAUUGAAAUAGUGGAUGAAGAAGAUGGUGCUGAAGACAACUCGGUGCCUCUGCAAGGCUCACCUCGGUGAAAAGCAGAUGAACAAAUGAGGUGGCAGUGGUUGUUCUUCAAAUGCCUCUUUCAUGAACCUCUUUGGUUUAAAACAUUGGUCUGGAGUCAGUUUUGAGCUCUCCACACAGCUGCCUUGGCACGUUUGCCUUACUUUUAUGUUGCUUUUGGAAGAUGAAAUACUUCUUGGUUUUCUUGCUGCACAAGGUAGAGAACUGCACUAGGAAGCACAUCGGGUUGUUUGAGGAGGGUAUGUGAGAUUCUGGACUCCUCACCACAAUUACCUCGGUUCAAGCUACCUGUCUCUAGAACUGGAAGCGUUGGUAACUGUCAGUUUCCUCUACUGCUAACAGGCUGUUUGCUGACCUUCUGAUUCAGGAAUCCAUUACUUGGGUGGACAUCUGUGCAACAUGGUGUAGCAAAAGAGGGGCAUUCCUGUGAUGUGUGGAACAGAUUGGAAAACCUCUACACAAGUGAAGUGCACCUGAAGUCCAGUCUGAACUAGCAUCUUGGUCCUUAGAGAAAGUCAAGGAAGAAAUACAGGAUGCCAUUUCACAGAAGUCUGAAGCUGAUUUGAGGGUGCCUGAUGAUACAGAACAGAGUGAAAUGCCCUGAGUUAAAAAAAUGGAAGCAACCUGUUUGACAGUUCCUAGGGACUGCUGCCAAGUUGCUGUGUGUCAGAGGGGGAUGAGAAACACCACGUGGGAGCUACAAAAAUCCUGGUGAUGUUGCUUGCUGUAAGCCUGCUGCAAAGAACUGCACAGCUGUUCCAAAUGAAGAACCUUCUCUAGAGUGUUCAUUGUAGUUUUUUUGGAAUUAAACGUUCAUUUUAAUAGUA
Molecule: non-coding RNA, 1058 nt
Organism: Cyanistes caeruleus (blue tit)
Lineage: Eukaryota; Metazoa; Chordata; Aves; Passeriformes; Paridae
Source: RefSeq, a predicted model, not a curated record